GAUUUGUCUUUUCUGAUAAACAUUCCAAACAAAGAAAAAUUUAUUUUUGUGGUUGUGCAUGCGCAUGUUCCCAGUUUCCAUUGACCUUCUGGCUAAGCAAGGCAAGAAGGAGAAAUGCGUCUUGAGUAUAGAUUAAAGAUCUUUUAAGAACCCAGUCUUUGUAGUGCACCCUUCUUUUUAUGGGCAGGGUAAUCUUCUGGUUUCUACAACUCUACUCCCUUGGAUUUCGUGCUGCUUGGGGCCUGUUUGUCCUUGGAUCCUUUUCUGCCUGUCCCAAGCUUCCUUUUCCACUCCUCUGUCUCAGUUUCAUAGCUGACUUCAAGAGAGCCUUGGGCUAACAGUGGAGGUGCGAUUUCCCCAACCAGACUGCAUCUCCUUCACCUUCUCCAGCAGCAGCCACUCCCCUCCUGCUCCUGCUCACCUGGGUUCCAGUUCCCACCUUGUCACAGGUGUGUGUGCCCCCGAGCCUUCGGCUUGCUCCUGGCACUAAUUUCUGAGUUGUCCCCCUUUUCUCUGGUUUGCUUGCUCUGGAUCUCUGAUCAACCGUCUCCCACUUUGUGGAAUUCCCUGAGUCACAGUUCUCCCCUUCAAAUACUCCAAUCUUAUUUUCCUAGCUGCAUCCUGAUUGGUGCCAGUCCGGCACAGCAUCCUGCUCACACUGAAGUCUUGGGUAGCACAGCCCGGAGGCGAUGCCCAGUGCUCCUGCUGACCCGAGGACCUCUGGGGCCAGACCCCAAGGCUUCGACCCCCUUCCCAGCUCUCCUUCUCCGGUUCAGAUUCUACUUGAGCCCACUCUGCCCAGGAGAGACCAAGUAGUUUUCUCUGCCUGCUGACACUGACACCAGAAGACAUUCAAACAGCUCACUGGAUUGCUAGCCCAGCCCAUUGGUGGCAAACCUAUGGGACAUGUGCCCAGCCUCUGCCAUCAAUUAAGUAGAUGCCAUAGCUCUGACUUGUUUCCUGUAAAGGGGUGCCGGCUUUGUUUACUUCAUUUAGCAGGCUCUCUCUGCGCACUCGGUCCACUGCCUCCCACAUCGGUCCGUGGCAUUUGUUUAUUCUACCCAAUCACACGCAGAGCUCUGUGGUCAGGGGCACUUUUCCUUUUAUAUCUGCUCACAGCAGGUUCACAGUACAGGCUUGUGAGCUAAAUACAGUCUACAUUUCACCAGCAUCUGUGCUGAUUUCCGGUUCCUUGUCAGAGGGACAUGCUGUGUGCCCUCCUGCAGCUGCAUGGUGUGCACUGGAUCAUCCACUCAGGAUGUGCUCUGAGCAGGUCCUGUAUUCUAGACCGGAGAUACUGGGGGCCACUAGGGGCAGCACAAAGACUCCAAGGCCCAUUGCCACUUACUUUAAAAGCAAGGGUUCCCCCUAAGCUGCCUCUCCCUGGGGACUGCCACUGUCCUUCUAGUGGUUUCCUGGACUGACAAUGCUCUGUGUCACAGAACCUGCUCAUCUUCUUCAUAGCAUUGCAUAUGAACUAUGUAUGGAAUAAGCAUAAAGGACAGGGAGAAAUUUAAAUUUAUACAAAUGUGUAGUGAAUACAAAGGGCACGUGUAUAAGUAUCAUACAGAACAGGCACCCUCUUGUAUGAGUGUGUGUGGGGGGGUGUUGUUAUGCUUUCAUUUUGUCUUUCCCUCUACAGAUUUUCUUUACUUCAGCUUCUUUCACUACUGAACACCAAGCCUAACACAGAGGCUGGCUGGCACACAGCUGCACAGGCAGAUUUUCACACAUUGAAGAUUCGCUUGUUCUGCACACCCUGCAAAACCUCACCUCACAUCCGCAGCAGUAGAAAAUCCUAAUUGAUUUUCAUUAUUAAAAAAUUCUCCAAUGGCAACUGAAUUAUCAAGGUCAUCAAUGAAAGUACACAUUGAACAUAACAUAGAUUUAUUGGUACUUUCCUCCAGAGAAUUCUGUUCAUCUUGGAAGACAUUGCAAUCUCCAGUGGUUGGAGCUAGGUCUUCAUCAAAAAAGUAUGAUUCUCCUGUGCUUUUGCUCUACCUGCAAAGCGUGUUCGAUUGGCUCAAACUAUAGUCAACUUUGAUCACCUGUGGUCCUCAUUUCCCUGUCAUACAUUUGUAAAAUGUUUA
Molecule: long non-coding RNA, 2090 nt
Organism: Heterocephalus glaber (naked mole-rat)
Lineage: Eukaryota; Metazoa; Chordata; Mammalia; Rodentia; Bathyergidae
Source: Ensembl